GGCGCUGUAGCUCAAUUGGUUAGAGUACUGGACUGUCGAUCCAGUGGUUGCGGGUUCGAGUCCCGUCAGCGUCGCUA
Molecule: transfer RNA, 77 nt
Filed under: Blastopirellula sp.
Lineage: Bacteria; Pseudomonadati; Planctomycetota; Planctomycetia; Pirellulales; Pirellulaceae
Also listed under: 1 other name
Description: tRNA-Asp
Rfam family: tRNA
About the family: Transfer RNA (tRNA) molecules are approximately 80 nucleotides in length. Their secondary structure includes four short double-helical elements and three loops (D, anti-codon, and T loops).
Source: RNAcentral